Molecule: long non-coding RNA, 904 nt
Organism: Triticum dicoccoides
Lineage: Eukaryota; Viridiplantae; Streptophyta; Magnoliopsida; Poales; Poaceae
Exons: 2
Source: RefSeq, a predicted model, not a curated record
AAUUGUCAUCCUUCCUUCUAUAUGCACAAUGCUGGUUUUGUUUUGUAUCUUAUUUUGCUGUUGGAGUACACUGGUGCUAUAAUGAUACUCACUUCUUUGGUAUAUUCAGCCUGUUUCAGAACAAUGCAUGCAUGAUCUUCCAGCAAACUUGCCAGAUCCCAUAGAUACUGCCAAGCCAGCCCGAGGGUCUACAGACUGGCUCGUUCUUCUCAUCGUGACCAGUUUUACUGAAGAUCCUACCUUGUGGCAAUCUCAUGGAUACUGCCGACCCAGCCUGGGGGUCUACAGCCUCUGACUGGCUCGUCUGUCUCAUCGUGGGCCACCUCACCUACCACCUCCAUCAGGGCUUGUUCUGUUAAUCCUCCUCCCAAGAGGAUUGGAGGGGAUUGGCAAGGAUUAAGAUGUAUUUUGACUUAUAAGAGGUUUAAAUCCCCCUCAAACCUCUUCAAUCCCCUCGGUUCUACACGCAACCGAACAAGGCCUCAGCGAAUGGGGAGGAAUGCGAGGACUACGGCAUGCACAUCAACAGAGGACACGACAGGGAAGAGGGACCUGUUGGUGCGGCGGGGCAACAGGAAGUGGCUAUCCAUCAAGGUGCAACAUCACGAUGUUCAGGGGGCUGCCAUAGAGCCACCGCUGAGAAGGCUGCAGCCAGCCUAUGAUGUAUUGCCGCGACCAAAGUGCAGCACCAAUUCUUUUACCGGUGCUGUGCUAUCUCAUUUGUCUGCAUUUUGUAUUAUGCAAAAAAGGAAGAACAAAAAGGAUAGAGUGGUAUACAUGUUUGGAAUUUGUUUCAAGCUUUCUUGGAUGAUUGUAAAUCAAAUCUGCUAGCUAGGCAUGUCCAAAGGAGUUGGCGACUUUGUGCUUUCUUUGAGCUUACUAAAUUAUAAUCAAAUUGAUGACG